CAGUCGCCGCGGUAAAACGAAGGGGGCUAGCGUUGUUCGGAAUUACUGGGCGUAAAGCGCACGUAUGCUGACAUUUAAGUCAGGGGUGAAAUCCCGGGGCUCAACCCCGGAACUGCCUUUGAUACUGGGUGUCUAGAGUAUGGAAGAGGUGAGUGGAAUUCCGAGUGUAGAUGUGAAAUUCGUAGAUAUUCGGAGGAACACCAGUGGCGAAGGCGGCUCACUGGUCCAUUACUGACGCUGAGGUGCGAAAGCGUGGGGAGCAAACAGGAUUAGAUACCCGAGUAGUCCCUGUCUCUUAUAC
This 301-nucleotide ribosomal RNA is filed under the name uncultured bacterium. RNAcentral describes it as "partial 16S ribosomal RNA". It matches the Rfam family "Bacterial small subunit ribosomal RNA", at positions 509 to 807 of the family's 1533-position model. The record is from RNAcentral.